This 253-nucleotide ribosomal RNA is filed under the name uncultured bacterium. Its description in RNAcentral is "partial 16S ribosomal RNA". It matches the Rfam family "Bacterial small subunit ribosomal RNA", at positions 524 to 776 of the family's 1533-position model. The record is from RNAcentral.
UACGUAGGUGGCAAGCGUUGUCCGGAUUUACUGGGUGUAAAGGGCGUGUAGCCGGAGAGACAAGUCAGAUGUGAAAUCCACGGGCUCAACCCGUGAACUGCAUUUGAAACUGUUUCCCUUGAGUGUCGGAGAGGUAAUCGGAAUUCCUUGUGUAGCGGUGAAAUGCGUAGAUAUAAGGAAGAACACCAGUGGCGAAGGCGGAUUACUGGACGAUAACUGACGGUGAGGCGCGAAAGCGUGGGGAGCAAACAGG